UAGACAAUGCAGUCUUUCCAAAGUCAAG
This 28-nucleotide non-coding RNA is filed under the name Rattus norvegicus (Norway rat). The record is from RNAcentral. Lineage: Eukaryota; Metazoa; Chordata; Mammalia; Rodentia; Muridae.